AAUAAGAUCAUUUUUUAGUUUUUUGAUACAAUGUUUUGACUCUUCGUCUUAUUUAAAAUUUUUUAUGAUUAAUAUUUUUAUUCUGACUAGAUGAUAAAACAUGAAUAGUACUUUAUACAUAACUAAUUUUUUUAAUUUUUUGUACAAUUUUUUCAAAUAAGACGAAUGGUCAAACGUUGAACAUAGAAAAAC
This 192-nucleotide microRNA precursor is filed under the name Oryza brachyantha (malo sina). RNAcentral describes it as "MIR812 microRNA precursor family". It matches the Rfam family "MIR812 microRNA precursor family". The record is from Rfam by way of RNAcentral. Lineage: Eukaryota; Viridiplantae; Streptophyta; Magnoliopsida; Poales; Poaceae.